This 23-nucleotide non-coding RNA is filed under the name Arabidopsis thaliana (thale cress). The record is from RNAcentral. Lineage: Eukaryota; Viridiplantae; Streptophyta; Magnoliopsida; Brassicales; Brassicaceae.
UCCAAUCAUCUUAUUUUGGUCCA